ACGAACGCUGGCGGCGUGCUUCACACAUGCAAGUCGCACGGUAAGGCUCCAGCUUGCUGGGGUACACGAGUGGCGAACGGGUGAGUAACACGUGGGUGACCUGCCCUGCACUUCGGGAUAAGCCUGGGAAACUGGGUCUAAUACCGGAUAGGACCGCACCGUGAGGGUGUGGUGGAAAGUUUUUUCGGUGUGGGAUGGGCCCGCGGCCUAUCAGCUUGUUGGUGGGGUAAUGGCCUACCAAGGCGGCGACGGGUAGCCGGCCUGAGAGGGUGGACGGCCACAUUGGGACUGAGACACGGCCCAGACUCCUACGGGAGGCAGCAGUGGGGAAUAUUGCACAAUGGGCGGAAGCCUGAUGCAGCGACGCCGCGUGGGGGAUGACGGCCUUCGGGUUGUAAACUCCUUUCACCAUCGACGAAGGGUUUCUGACGGUAGAUGGAGAAGAAGCACCGGCUAACUACGUG
Molecule: ribosomal RNA, 464 nt
Filed under: uncultured bacterium
Lineage: Bacteria
Description: partial 16S ribosomal RNA
Rfam family: Bacterial small subunit ribosomal RNA
Source: RNAcentral